GGGGGAGAAGAAAGAGAAAAAACUGGUUGGGGGAAGCAAUGGCGUGACUGGGGCGGAGUUGAACAUUAACAUUUGGCCCUUUUCGAGGAGUAGAUCCGCCGGAAACGGAGGAAGUAGGCCUCGGGUUACGGGUGGAUCCGGAUUGGCGACGCGAAAGGUCAGUAGUGCUCCGUGUUCCCGGAGCAACUCCGCCGGUGAAUCCAAGUCACGGAAAUGGCCCAGUAGUCCCAGUCGUGGUGGGGUUCAUUUGGGCCGGAGCAGCCCAGUUUGGCAGGUACGACGGAGCUCUAUCAACCCAGGAUCCGGUACCCGGAGCUCCGACAACCUCGUCAAAACUACUGAAAAAGCCAUCAGAAAAGAAGCCCCC
Molecule: unclassified non-coding RNA, 367 nt
Filed under: Hevea brasiliensis (rubber tree)
Lineage: Eukaryota; Viridiplantae; Streptophyta; Magnoliopsida; Malpighiales; Euphorbiaceae
Source: RNAcentral